This 209-nucleotide unclassified non-coding RNA is filed under the name uncultured Geopora. RNAcentral describes it as "sequence contains ITS1". Lineage: Eukaryota; Fungi; Ascomycota; Pezizomycetes; Pezizales; Pyronemataceae. The record is from RNAcentral.
AUCGAACAAACAUGUUUCUCAGCAUGAUAUUUCAAACCCCACCUGUGUAUCUUACCUGUUGCUUCCGUGCUGCACAUGCUGCAAACGCGUGCCUUGUGGGUCCGGAGUAUCUAUCACUCUCAGGGCCCGUGGGAGCCGGCACGGGAGGUAAACCCACAAACUCUUGCCCUUGAAUGCCUUCCGUCUGAACUGUAGUACAUGAAAAGUUA